Molecule: ribosomal RNA, 1338 nt
Filed under: Escherichia coli
Lineage: Bacteria; Pseudomonadati; Pseudomonadota; Gammaproteobacteria; Enterobacterales; Enterobacteriaceae
Description: bacterial LSU rRNA
Rfam family: Bacterial large subunit ribosomal RNA
Source: RNAcentral
AGUGUCAAAUAGCCAUCAUACUUCAAUGAGAGGCAAUGACAUGAGCGACAACAUCCGUGUUGGGUUGAUUGGGUAUGGUUAUGCGAGCAAAACCUUCCAUGCGCCCCUGAUUGCGGGCCGCCGCGCGUUGGCUCGUCGAGCAACAAAAUCUGGCUGGCGGCAUAGACCCAACGACCGAUCACCACUUUUUGCUGAUUGCCACCAGAAAGCGUGCCGAUGGGUGUUUCGCUACUGGCAGCCUUGACCGUCAUCCGCUGCAUCACCUCUUCGGUCAGGCGGCGGAUGGUGGACCAUUGCAGCACACCGUUGGUGCUGAUUUUUGGGCGACGGUUGUCCCGGUUUAAGCGUGUAGGCUGGUUUUCCAGGCAAAUCCGGAAAACUAAGGCUGAGGCGUGAUGACGAGGCACUACGGUGCUGAAGCAACAAAUGCCCUGCUUCCAGGAAAAGCCUCUAAGCAUCAGGUAACAUCAAAUCGUACCCCAAACCGACACAGGUGGUCAGGUAGAGAAUACCAAGGCGCUUGAGAGAACUCGGGUGAAGGAACUAGGCAAAAUGGUGCCGUAACUUCGGGAGAAGGCACGCUGAUAUGUAGGUGAAGUCCCUUGCGGAUGGAGCUGAAAUCAGUCGAAGAUACCAGCUGGCUGCAACUGUUUAUUAAAAACACAGCACUGUGCAAACACGAAAGUGGACGUAUACGGUGUGACGCCUGCCCGGUGCCGGAAGGUUAAUUGAUGGGGUUAGCGCAAGCGAAGCUCUUGAUCGAAGCCCCGGUAAACGGCGGCCGUAACUAUAACGGUCCUAAGGUAGCGAAAUUCCUUGUCGGGUAAGUUCCGACCUGCACGAAUGGCGUAAUGAUGGCCAGGCUGUCUCCACCCGAGACUCAGUGAAAUUGAACUCGCUGUGAAGAUGCAGUGUACCCGCGGCAAGACGGAAAGACCCCGUGAACCUUUACUAUAGCUUGACACUGAACAUUGAGCCUUGAUGUGUAGGAUAGGUGGGAGGCUUUGAAGUGUGGACGCCAGUCUGCAUGGAGCCGACCUUGAAAUACCACCCUUUAAUGUUUGAUGUUCUAACGUUGACCCGUAAUCCGGGUUGCGGACAGUGUCUGGUGGGUAGUUUGACUGGGGCGGUCUCCUCCUAAAGAGUAACGGAGGAGCACGAAGGUUGGCUAAUCCUGGUCGGACAUCAGGAGGUUAGUGCAAUGGCAUAAGCCAGCUUGACUGCGAGCGUGACGGCGCGAGCAGGUGCGAAACCAUCGGCAGCCACGGUCCGACCUAUUACAACCGCUAUCCGCCGCAGUUCAGGAAAUUUACCCCAACCUGCGACACCAAUGAGAUC